AUUGAACGCUGGCGGCAGGCCUAACACAUGCAAGUCGAGCGGAUGAAGGGAGCUUGCUCCUGGAUUCAGCGGCGGACGGGUGAGUAAUGCAUAGGAAUCUGCCUGGUAGUGGGGGAUAACGUCCGGACACGGGCGCUAAUACCGCAUACGUCCUGAGGGAGAAAGUGGGGGAUCUUCGGACCUCACGCUAUCAGAUGAGCCUAGGUCGGAUUAGCUAGUUGGUUGGGUAAAGGCCUACCAAGGCGACGAUCCGUAACUGGUCUGAGAGGAUGAUCAGUCACACUGGAACUGAGACACGGUCCAGACUCCUACGGGAGGCAGCAGUGGGGAAUAUUGGACAAUGGGCGAAAGCCUGACCCAGCCAUGCCGCGUGUGUGAAGAAGGUCUUCGGAUUGUAAAGCACUUUAAGUUGGGAGGAAGGGCAGUAAGUUAAUACCUUGCUGUUUUGACGGUACCAACAGAAUAAGCACCGGCUAACUUCGUG
This 484-nucleotide ribosomal RNA is filed under the name uncultured bacterium. Its description in RNAcentral is "partial 16S ribosomal RNA". It matches the Rfam family "Bacterial small subunit ribosomal RNA", at positions 30 to 507 of the family's 1533-position model. The record is from RNAcentral.